AAUCAACGCUGGCGGCGUGCCUCAGACAUGCAAGUCGAACGAUUAAAGCUCUCUUCGGAGAGUGCAUAAAGUGGCGCACGGGUGAGUAACACGUAAGUAAUCUACCUUCGAGUGGGGAAUAACAUCGGGAAACCGAUGCUAAUACCGCAUAAUGCAGCGGCAUCGCAAGAUGACAGUUGUUAAAGAUUUAUCGCUUGAAGAGGAGCUUGCGGCAGAUUAGCUAGUUGGUAAGGUAAUGGCUUACCAAGGCUACGAUCUGUAACCGGUCUAAGAGGACGGUCGGCCACACUGACACUGAAUAACGGGUCAGACUCCUACGGGAGGCAGCAGUCGGGAAUUUUGGGCAAUGGGCGAAAGCCUGACCCAGCAACGCCGCGUGAAGGAUGAAGUAUUUCGGUAUGUAAACUUCGAAAGAAUAGGAANAAUAAAUGACGGUACUAUUUAUAAGGUCCGGCUAACUACGUGCCAGCAGCCGCCGUAAC
This 482-nucleotide ribosomal RNA is filed under the name uncultured bacterium. RNAcentral's name for it is "bacterial SSU rRNA". It matches the Rfam family "Bacterial small subunit ribosomal RNA", at positions 32 to 524 of the family's 1533-position model. The record is from RNAcentral.